This 468-nucleotide ribosomal RNA is filed under the name uncultured bacterium. RNAcentral's name for it is "partial 16S ribosomal RNA". It matches the Rfam family "Bacterial small subunit ribosomal RNA", at positions 28 to 507 of the family's 1533-position model. The record is from RNAcentral.
GACGAACGCUGGCGGCGUGCUUAACACAUGCAAGUCGAACGGAAAGGCCCUGCUUUUGUGGGGUGCUCGAGUGGCGAAAGGGUGACUAACACGUGAGUAACCUGCCCUUGACUUUGGGAUAACUUCAGGAAACUGGGGCUAAUACCGGAUAGGAGCUCCUGCUGCAUGGUGGGGGUUGGAAAGUUUCGGCGGUUGGGGAUGGACUCGCGGCUUAUCAGCUUGUUGGUGGGGUAGUGGCUUACCAAGGCUUUGACGGGUAGCCGGCCUGAGAGGGUGACCGGCCACAUUGGGACUGAGAUACGGCCCAGACUCCUACGGGAGGCAGCAGUGGGGAAUAUUGCACAAUGGGCGGAAGCCUGAUGCAGCAACGCCGCGUGCGGGAUGACGGCCUUCGGGUUGUAAACCGCUUUCGCCUGUGACGAAGCGUGAGCGACGGUAAUGGGUAAAGAAGCACCGGCUAACUACGUG